GCCGUUCUUUGCUAGCCUGGAGACACCCGACGAGACGCGCCGUACCGGGAUUCCGACAAGACGACGCACC
This 70-nucleotide non-coding RNA is filed under the name Streptomyces venezuelae. RNAcentral also lists the same sequence under 1 other name. Lineage: Bacteria; Bacillati; Actinomycetota; Actinomycetes; Kitasatosporales; Streptomycetaceae. The record is from RNAcentral.